RNAcentral lists this ribosomal RNA (254 nucleotides) under uncultured bacterium. RNAcentral's name for it is "partial 16S ribosomal RNA". It matches the Rfam family "Bacterial small subunit ribosomal RNA", at positions 524 to 776 of the family's 1533-position model. The record is from RNAcentral.
UACGAAGGGGGCUAGCGUUGUCCGGAAUCAUUGGGCGUAAAGAGCUCGUAGGCGGCUCAGUAAGUCAGGUGUGAAAACUCCAGGCUCAACCUGGAGACGCCACCUGAUACUGCUGUGGCUAGAGUCCGGUAGGGGAGCAUGGAAUUCCUGGUGUAGCGGUGAAAUGCGCAGAUAUCAGGAGGAACACCGACGGCGAAGGCAGCACUCUGGGCCGGUACUGACGCUGAGGAGCGAAAGCAUGGGGAGCGAACAGG